Molecule: non-coding RNA, 73 nt
Organism: Podarcis lilfordi (Lilford's wall lizard)
Lineage: Eukaryota; Metazoa; Chordata; Lepidosauria; Squamata; Lacertidae
Source: the annotation of a GenBank genome assembly
GCCUGGGAUAGCUAAAUUGGUAGAGCACGAGACUCUUAAUCUCAGGGUUGUGGGUUUGAGCCCCCGUUGGGCA